UCCAGGGUAACCUAGUGGACAUGGCAUCUGCCCGGUAAGCGGAACACAGUGGGUUCGAUUCCCAUCCCUGGAC
Molecule: transfer RNA, 73 nt
Filed under: Cordylochernes scorpioides
Lineage: Eukaryota; Metazoa; Arthropoda; Arachnida; Pseudoscorpiones; Chernetidae
Description: tRNA-Thr
Rfam family: tRNA
About the family: Transfer RNA (tRNA) molecules are approximately 80 nucleotides in length. Their secondary structure includes four short double-helical elements and three loops (D, anti-codon, and T loops). Further hydrogen bonds mediate the characteristic L-shaped molecular structure. tRNAs have two regions of fundamental functional importance: the anti-codon, which is responsible for specific mRNA codon recognition, and the 3' end, to which the tRNAs corresponding amino acid is attached (by aminoacyl-tRNA synthetases). tRNAs cope with the degeneracy of the genetic code in two manners: having more than one tRNA (with a specific anti-codon) for a particular amino acid; and 'wobble' base-pairing, i.e. permitting non-standard base-pairing at the 3rd anti-codon position.
Source: RNAcentral